UACGUAGGUGGCAAGCGUUGUCCGGAUUUACUGGGUGUAAAGGGCGUGUAGCCGGGCUGACAAGUCAGAUGUGAAAUCCGGGGGCUCAACCCCCGAACUGCAUUUGAAACUGUUGGUCUUGAGUAUCGGAGAGGCAGGCGGAAUUCCUAGUGUAGCGGUGAAAUGCGUAGAUAUUAGGAGGAACACCAGUGGCGAAGGCGGCCUGCUGGGCGACAACUGACGGUGAGGCGCGAAAGCGUGGGGAGCAAACAGG
This 253-nucleotide ribosomal RNA is filed under the name uncultured bacterium. Its description in RNAcentral is "partial 16S ribosomal RNA". It matches the Rfam family "Bacterial small subunit ribosomal RNA", at positions 524 to 776 of the family's 1533-position model. The record is from RNAcentral.